RNAcentral lists this ribosomal RNA (433 nucleotides) under uncultured bacterium. RNAcentral's name for it is "partial 16S ribosomal RNA". It matches the Rfam family "Bacterial small subunit ribosomal RNA", at positions 29 to 507 of the family's 1533-position model. The record is from RNAcentral.
AACGAACGCUGGCGGCAGGCCUAACACAUGCAAGUCGAACGAAGUCUUCGGACUUAGUGGCGCACGGGUGAGUAACACGUGGGAAUAUACCUUACGCUGGGGGAUAACAUCGGGAAACUGAUGCUAAUACCGCAUACGCCCUUCGGGGGAAAGAUUUAUCGGCGAAAGAUUAGCCCGCGUCCGAUUAGCUAGUUGGUGAGGUAAUGGCUCACCAAGGCUCCGAUCGGUAGCUGGUCUGAGAGGAUGACCAGCCACACUGGGACUGAGACACGGCCCAGACUCCUACGGGAGGCAGCAGUGGGGAAUAUUGGACGAUGGGCGCAAGCCUGAUCCCGCCAUGCCGCGUGAGUGAUGAAGGCCUUAGGGUUGUAAAGCUCUUUCACCCACGACGAUGAUGACGGUAGUGGGAGAAGAAGCCCCGGCUAACUUCGUG